RNAcentral lists this unclassified non-coding RNA (235 nucleotides) under Ascomycota sp. Its description in RNAcentral is "partial contains small subunit ribosomal RNA, internal transcribed spacer 1, and 5.8S ribosomal RNA". The stretch from base 1 to 47 matches the Rfam family "Eukaryotic small subunit ribosomal RNA", at positions 1785 to 1831 of the family's 1831-position model. Lineage: Eukaryota; Fungi; Ascomycota. The record is from RNAcentral.
AAAGUCGUAACAAGGUUUCCGUAGGUGAACCUGCGGAAGGAUCAUUACAGAGUUCAUGCCCCUACGGGUAGAUCUCCCACCCUUGAAUAUUAUACCUUUGUUGCUUUGGCGGGCACUCACCAGCCGUAGCCGGUAGCCGAAGCGGCCCGCCAAAGGACCCCCAAACUCUGAAUUAUAGUGUCGUCUGAGUACUAUAUAAUAGUUAAAACUUUCAACAACGGAUCUCUUGGUUCUG